Molecule: long non-coding RNA, 224 nt
Filed under: Elaeis guineensis (African oil palm)
Lineage: Eukaryota; Viridiplantae; Streptophyta; Magnoliopsida; Arecales; Arecaceae
Description: long non-coding RNA (EGUI_LNC010296)
Source: RNAcentral
UCCCACACCAAUUACUCACUAAAAAGAUCUUGGGUAUAUAAGGCCAAGGAAUCCAAAUAAUAUCUUUCAGCUAUUCUUUUUGGAUAAGGUUCUAGGUUGUUAUAGAAGGACAUAAGCUUAUGUCCCCAUAGAAUUGGUUUAAAAGAGAGACUUCUAAAGGAGAUAGUUACUACUAUCAAGCUUGAUUAGGAUUAGAUUUAAAAUAUUGGAUAUGACAAAAGAGG